UCCUCGUUAGUAUAGUGGUCAGUAUCCCCGCCUGUUACGCGGGAGACCGGGGUUCAAUUCCCCGACGGGGAG
Molecule: non-coding RNA, 72 nt
Organism: Oryzias latipes (Japanese medaka)
Lineage: Eukaryota; Metazoa; Chordata; Actinopteri; Beloniformes; Adrianichthyidae
Source: Rfam